GACGAACGCUGGCGGCGUGCUUAACGCAUGCAAGUCGAACGGAAAGGCCCCCUUGUGGGGUACUCGAGUGGCGAACGGGUGAGUAACACGUGAGUAACCUACCCUUGACUUUGGGAUAACUUCAGGAAACUGGGGCUAAUACCGGAUAGGAGCUCCUGCUGCAUGGUGGGGGUUGGAAAGUUUCGGCGGUUGGGGAUGGACUCGCGGCUUAUCACCUUGUUGGUGGGGUAGUGGCUCACCAAGGGUUUGUCGGGUAGCCGGCCUGAGAGGGUGACCGGCCACAUUGGGACUGAGAUACGGCCCAGACUCCUACGGGAGGCAGCAGUGGGGAAUAUUGCACAAUGGGCGGAAGCCUGAUGCAGCAACGCCGCGUGCGGGAUGACGGCCUUCGGGUUGUAAACCGCUUUCGCCUGUGACGAAGCGUGAGUGACGGUAAUGGGUAAAGAAGCACCGGCUAACUACGUG
This 465-nucleotide ribosomal RNA is filed under the name uncultured bacterium. RNAcentral's name for it is "partial 16S ribosomal RNA". It matches the Rfam family "Bacterial small subunit ribosomal RNA", at positions 28 to 507 of the family's 1533-position model. The record is from RNAcentral.